UUCUAGAAAUCCUAGCUAUUUCCCGCAUGAUAUUUGGGAAUCUCAUUGCUAUUACUCAAAUAAGCAUGAAACGUAUGCUUGCGUAUUCGUCCAUAGGUCAAAUUGGAUAUGUAAUUAUUGGAAUAAUUGUUGGAGACUCAAAUGGUGGAUAUGCAAGCAUGAUAACUUAUAUGCUGUUCUAUAUCUCCAUGAAUCUAGGAA
Molecule: long non-coding RNA, 201 nt
Organism: Juglans microcarpa x Juglans regia
Lineage: Eukaryota; Viridiplantae; Streptophyta; Magnoliopsida; Fagales; Juglandaceae
Exons: 3
Source: RefSeq, a predicted model, not a curated record